RNAcentral lists this ribosomal RNA (860 nucleotides) under Microbacterium sp. A13. RNAcentral describes it as "bacterial SSU rRNA". It matches the Rfam family "Bacterial small subunit ribosomal RNA", at positions 88 to 959 of the family's 1533-position model. The record is from RNAcentral. Lineage: Bacteria; Bacillati; Actinomycetota; Actinomycetes; Micrococcales; Microbacteriaceae.
UGGAUCAGUGGCGAACGGGUGAGUAACACGUGAGCAACCUGCCCCGAACUCUGGGAUAAGCGCUGGAAACGGCGUCUAAUACCGGAUACGCACCAGAGCGGCAUCGUUACUGGUGGGAAAGAUUUAUUGGUUCGGGAUGGGCUCGCGGCCUAUCAGCUUGUUGGUGAGGUAACGGCUCACCAAGGCGUCGACGGGUAGCCGGCCUGAGAGGGUGACCGGCCACACUGGGACUGAGACACGGCCCAGACUCCUACGGGAGGCAGCAGUGGGGAAUAUUGCACAAUGGGCGCAAGCCUGAUGCAGCAACGCCGCGUGAGGGAUGACGGCCUUCGGGUUGUAAACCUCUUUUAGCAGGGAAGAAGCGAAAGUGACGGUACCUGCAGAAAAAGCGCCGGCUAACUACGUGCCAGCAGCCGCGGUAAUACGUAGGGCGCAAGCGUUAUCCGGAAUUAUUGGGCGUAAAGAGCUCGUAGGCGGUCUGUCGCGUCUGCUGUGAAAACCCGAGGCUCAACCUCGGGCCUGCAGUGGGUACGGGCAGACUAGAGUGCGGUAGGGGAGAUUGGAAUUCCUGGUGUAGCGGUGGAAUGCGCAGAUAUCAGGAGGAACACCGAUGGCGAAGGCAGAUCUCUGGGCCGUAACUGACGCUGAGGAGCGAAAGGGUGGGGAGCAAACAGGCUUAGAUACCCUGGUAGUCCACCCCGUAAACGUUGGGAACUAGUUGUGGGGGCCUUUCCACGGUCUCCGUGACGCAGCUAACGCAUUAAGUUCCCCGCCUGGGGAGUACGGCCGCAAGGCUAAAACUCAAAGGAAUUGACGGGGACCCGCACAAGCGGCGGAGCAUGCGGAUUAAUUCGAUGCAA